RNAcentral lists this ribosomal RNA (468 nucleotides) under uncultured bacterium. Its description in RNAcentral is "partial 16S ribosomal RNA". It matches the Rfam family "Bacterial small subunit ribosomal RNA", at positions 28 to 507 of the family's 1533-position model. The record is from RNAcentral.
GACGAACGCUGGCGGCGUGCUUAACACAUGCAAGUCGAACGGAAAGGCCCUGCUUUUGUGGGGUGCUCGAGUGGCGAACGGGUGAGUAACACGUGAGUAACCUGCCCUUGACUUUGGGAUAACUUCAGGAAACUGGGGCUAAUACCGGAUAGGAGCUCCUGCUGCAUGGUGGGGGUUGGAAAGUUUCGGCGGUUGGGGAUGGACUCGCGGCUUAUCAGCUUGUUGGUGGGGUAGUGGCUUACCAAGGCUUUGACGGGUAGCCGGCCUGAGAGGGUGACCGGCCACAGGGGGAGGAAGAUGCGGCCGGGCCGCCUGGGGGGGGAAUCGGGGGGGAGUAGUGCACAGGGGGCGGAGGCUUGUGGCCGGAGCGCGGCGGGGGGGAAGGGGGCGUUGGGGUGAUGAACGACUUGCGCCGGUGACAAGGCGUGAGGGACGGAAAGGGAUAAGAAAGAACGGGCUAACUCGGGG